AUGUUCAACGAGACCAAGUUGCAGUUCCAUUUGGCAUCUGAGGUAGUGUUGCAGCUGGAUGUUGCACAGGAGAAGCGGCAGCUUACAUGCAGUGAGUUCUGGCUGCGGAAAACCCUGAAGCUGAAGAUCAUCGGCCUCACAGCUCUCGAGCGCGUCAGAAGGUGGCAGGCCUCGCGCAUCAUCUGUCUCAAAGCGGGCGACGCCUCCACAGCCUUUUUCCAGGCAAAGCAGACCUCCAGGCGCCGCAAAAACAUCAUACAAGGCAUCCUAUCGGCAGGCGCCAUCAAGACCAGCCACACCGACAAGGCGGCCAUUCACCUCAUCGACCGCGUCCGUGCAAGACUGGCAGGCUGGAAGGGUCGGCUUAUGCCAAUCGCGGGCCGGCGAGUGCUGGUGCAUUGCGUGCUCUCUGCACUGCCGGCCUUCGACCUUGCAGUCCUGCACACCCCAAAGAAAUUCCACAAAGAUGUGGACAGCGCAAGACGCCGGUUUCUAUGGGCCCAGGAUGAGGAAAUCUCUGGCAGGAAGUGCAAGAAGCACCCGGACAGGCCGUGGGUAGGCACAGGUUCGCCAUGCGAUGACAAGGAUAGGGAGUUGUUUGCCUCUGAAACUAGGGUUGCCAUAGGAAACAGAAGGAAUGCCACGUUUUGGAACUGCAACUGGCUCGGCGACCUGCCGCUCAAGCUACGGUUCCCACUGCUGUUAGCCAACUCAUCCAGGAAGAACCGAAUGGUGGCUGAAUAUAGCGCAAAAUUAGCCUACGACGCUCAGUUCGCUGGGCUGCCCAGGGGUGCACUACAGCAGCUCAUCUGGAAGGUAUGGGCACCGGGGAAAAUCAAGUUCUUCAUGUGGCUGUUGCAGCACGACCAGCUCUGGUGCAACGAUCGACUACAGCUGGGCGGCUGGGAAAAUGGUUACUUCUAUCAAUUAUGCCUCCGAAGCUUGGAGAGCUCGACACACCUACUGUGA
RNAcentral lists this ribosomal RNA (969 nucleotides) under Triticum aestivum (bread wheat). Its description in RNAcentral is "partial small subunit ribosomal RNA". The record is from RNAcentral. Lineage: Eukaryota; Viridiplantae; Streptophyta; Magnoliopsida; Poales; Poaceae.